UUAGGUGGUGCAGUAUUCUAGUCAGCAAAGUUCUUUUCGAAGACGGGGCUAAAAAUCCGUUAAAGGGCAUAUCGAUGAAGUUUCUGGUGUCGGCUGCUGACGCCCAGUCGGGGGUCGAUGCUGGGAGUAAGAACUAUGGGCAGCCGUCAAUGGCAUGGCGGUGACCGACCCAUUUUUCGUGGAGGCAUGACGGCUUUGCGUCAUGAAAACCUGUAUGGUGGUACAAAAUCUGCCUACAGUGUAGCCUGCCUUGAGUGGGGAUGGUGGAUCACGGAACAACGUUCGGCAACCAAAGGCUCACGGAAACCGAUGCGAUCGCCGUGUGAAACCAUCGCUGCAAAAGAGGCUAGGAGAGAACCGAGGCUGCCGAGGAAAGCUCCUAGACUGUCGUUUGUGGAUAUGACAGAGAUUACAGUGUGGACUCAGUGGUAAUUCGGUCUCACGUUUCGGAAACGGCGUGGCACCUGUUUUAAAGGGAAACCGCUUCUAUGGCGACAGGAAGUAACGGGCGGGGAAAUCCUACCGAACCUAAGCCGCAAGGUUUAUUUGUCGUAUCACCACCUUUCUUU
Molecule: small RNA, 569 nt
Filed under: chicken gut metagenome
Source: RNAcentral